Ruditapes philippinarum (Manila clam) is the source of this 528-nucleotide long non-coding RNA. RefSeq lists it as uncharacterized. The record is from RefSeq and is a predicted model, not a curated record. The transcript is spliced from 2 exons. Lineage: Eukaryota; Metazoa; Mollusca; Bivalvia; Venerida; Veneridae.
AAUUUUACAGGGGGCUACAAACUUUCAGCAAUAGCAAAAAAUCUACAAGGCCAAGCACCUAUUUCUUUGUGAUAUUUUGCAUGCAUAGGGAGUUGCUAAAGUAGUGACAGAGUUUUUGUAGACCGUAUAUUUGCAGGUUGUGUAGUUUGGGAUCAGAUUUAUCAGACAUAUUGCUUGUAGGACAUUGACGGCAGAAACUUGAAAUUUAGUGUGGAGUGCUACCUUAAGGUAAAAUGAAAUUUUUUCAAUGCUUGUUUUUUCUCAUUAAACUUUGUGUAAAUACUCUAGAAUACACACUGACUACAAUGAUGAUGAAAUUUCAUAAUAAUAUUAAACACAGUGCCAGAAAGUCAGCUUUAAAAAGGGGAGGUAACUCAAAUUCCAGAAAUUCUUUGUGAAAUGUAUUAAAGGUGCUGUGUCUGCUGUGUUGAUUACACCUACUUAUUCUAGGAGAUACAGCUUUAGAAGAAUGCUAAUUUUCACAUAUAGAGCUAUGAAGGUUAAAUUAGAUGUUGUUUUCCUGCUUUU